Long non-coding RNA from Equus caballus (horse), 10792 nucleotides. Lineage: Eukaryota; Metazoa; Chordata; Mammalia; Perissodactyla; Equidae. The record is from Ensembl.
GGCAGUGUCCCACAUGCCACAACCAGAGGCACUCACAACUAGAAUACACAACAAUGUACUGUGGGGCUUGGGGAAGAAGAAGAAGAUUAAAAACAAAAAAGAUUGGCAACAGUUGUUAGCUCAGGUGCCAAUCUUAAAAAGAAAAGAAAAGAAAAGCAAGUCCAGGGCAGCCCAUUUGGAGCUGUAGUGCAAAAUUUACCCACACUUGCCAGAAAUGUGAGCCCUUAUACCACCACUCUGCUGGGUCACUGGCUGAAGGCUGCCCUGGAGGAAUGUGGUCUUGCUCCAGCGUGGAGGCGGAUCCUGAAGGCAGCCACAGCUGAGGCUGUCCGUGACGCCACUCCUCAGGCCAGGCUUUCUCUUGAAGGGAGACCUGAGUGCUAGACCUCCAUGCUGCCACGGCCACCAUGGCAGCAAAUCUGCAAAGGAGGGCUUGAAUCCAAGAGAAAAUAAUUUCCUGGCAUCAGCAAGGUCCACAGCCUGCUCCAAUCAAGUUGCCUUCCAAAUGCCAGAAAGCUGAGGUACCCAAGCACCAGGACCCAGGAGAUAAGUUGGCUACAUGCCAGAGCUCUCAGGACAGCAACCUGCUUGCAUAUGCGUUUAUAUAACCGUUUGCAAAUAAAAAGUAAGUAUGCAGAGCCCUGAGCCCUCUUUGCUCCCCCAUCCCUGGGAAUCCACUGCCUAGUUCAGCUUAGCAGUAACACAAGCCUUCACGGGUCACUGCAGCCCUGACCACCUGCGCGCCCCGCCCCCGACCUGGUCUGGGAGCCUUUCAUCUGCGCCCACUCCAGGAGGACCAAGCUGGCCAUCCUCCGUCUACAUUAACAGCACACAGACAUUCCGACCAUUUUUUUUUAUUAGCUCCAACUCACCGUGGACGACAUUGGAAUCAAAUAAGGAUAGAAAAAUUAAAUCAUAGGCCCCCAACUCGUCAGUGGCAUGUCAGAAGCCAUUGACAUGGCACAGGCCACGGGGGAGGCCUGCAGCUGAGCGCUGCUGACUCCUGGGGGCCGGGACCAGGAGGCAGCUUCUGUGUUCCCCUUUCUCAAAGCUCUCUGGUUGGACCUGGGUAUCCCACACUGGGAACAUUCCACACACGCCCUGUGCCCUGAGACCAGCACUCCAUAUACUUCCCUCAUCCAGGAAAGACCAGGGCCCAGAGCGGAAAAGCCACUCCCUCGUCUCCCACUCAACCCUGCAGGAAAGCACAGCCCCGUUUCACUUGGGGCAAACGCAGCCCCCAGCAAGGCCUGCUUUGCUCUCACAGAAGUUCCACUUAGCACGGCUCAGGCUCCUUUCCCCAGCCUUCUCUUUCCUCAGAGGGUUUGUGCCAGUGACAGCUCCUGCAGAGGACACUUCCUAGGAACCCUGGGACGAUCUGGCUCUGUGGCUGCAACGGGCUUCCUUAUCUGGUGCCUGGAAUUCCAAGACUUUGUCUCUCAUCAUAUAUCCCCCCCUGGGUUUGUUUGAAUAUUUAGACAAACGCAGCCCUUCAGCUCUGAUAGUGGGUGUGUGGGAGCCUUUGUAUCUGUCAGGAAUGUCAUGCUCCUACCUCACAGCAAUUUAAAACCAGCAGAGAUCCCACCAGGAGCCAGGGACCGGGCAGAGCCAGAGAGCUUCUGUGUGGCCAAGAUACAAUGCUAGCCACCUCUAAAAUGCCACUGUACCCCACACACUGCAAGGCCCUUGAUGGCCUGUGAAAAGGCCCUUGUAUGUAGGUCAAAUCUCAAAUUCUCACGGUUCCCAGAUGGCUUAAAAAUGUCAACAAAGAAUCUUUCUACUUAUCAAAGAUUGUAUAUAUCCCCAUUUAAGCAGGAAGUCUGCAGAGGCCGGGGCCCAGCCUCCUGUUUAAUCUAAGAACCAGCCCUCAAGGGUUGCCUGCUGGCAAGUUAGCAACCUGUAAGUACGGGAGCCUCUUUGGAUAAAUCAAGGCUUCCGUGGAAAGAGCCUAAAUCCUAUAAAAGUAAUUUAUUUGCUUACCCAUCAAAUUAUAAUAUUCAUUUUGUUUUUGUAAACUCGCCAGUCCCCAGUUAUUAAUGCAAACCACAAGAAACUGUUUCAAGUAGGAUUUGGUCUCACAGUUUCCACCUUGAAUCUGACAUAGUCUACCUGGGAAGAUUGCAGGAAACCAUAAAUAAUUCCUAAUUCCUAAAGUGGGUCUAUGCAUAAUAAAGACUUUUUUUUGCUAUUAAAAAAAAAACCGCCAGGAGGCUGGGAACCAGGCAUCCAGGCCGGCGGGCUGCCUCAGACGACGCUGCCCUCUGUGCACGAGCAGGCGGCCGGGCAGCACGAAGGACCGUGCAGGGGGCGGGGGCGGGGGCAGGGGACCGGCCCGCGUUCUCCGGCCUCGGGCGGGCACCGGACAAGGCGCCUGAAGCCUCCCUCCUUAUCCCGAGCGGAAGGAGGGACGGCCACAGUGCGGCCCGAAAGCGGCGCCUGCACCGCCACCUCCGUCACCGGCCUGAUCCAGGGUCUGCGGCCCCCCGCCGCCUGGCAUGCCCCCGGCGACCCUGGUCCGCUGGCGUCCCCGCAGGAGGUUCCCCGCGGCGCGCGCACGGCGGGCGCUGCCUGGCCUUCGGAGGGGCGUCCCGAAAAGGGCCCUGGACGACGAGCAAGAGACCAAUGACAAACAUUUCCCAAACUGGCCCUAGCCUGUGGACCAGACCUUGACCAGCAGCACUUCUGGGCAGUGUUUGUCCCUGGGGGCGAAGAGGACUGAUGGUCAGAGCCGACCCUUAUUCCACUCUUACUCUCUGGCACAGCACCCUCGUGAACCCCCCAGCACAUAGUUGCAUAUUCUUCGUUGUGGGUCCUUCUACUUGUGGCAUGUGGGACGCUGCCUCAGCGUGGUUUGAUGAGCAGCGUCAUGUCCCCGCCCAGGAUUCAAACCAACGAAACACUACGCCGCCUGCAGCGGAGCGCGCGCGAACUUAACCACUCGGCCAGGGGGCCAGCCCCCCAAAUGCUUUUGAAAGGACAGUGGCACUCUUCAGGGUGUCCCCUUGCUCCUGCUCACCUUCUAUAUGCAUGCAUGGUCCACCGCCACACCAUGCUGUGAAGUGACAAGAAUGACAGCAUUUGCAGGAAAUGUACAUUGCAACAUGACAAAGCAAGAAACACCUUUUGCAAAAAGCGUUAGAAGUUAAAGGACUGGCUGGUAAUGCCUCGGACAUCAGUUCUUAUCCUUCUGCUUUUGCAGUUGCUGAAUGUUGAAACAAGUCAGCUUGAAGUCGGGUAAUAAAUGGAUUCCAGCUUGAAUCUUGGCAGGAUUUGUUUUGCUUGAGGGAAGUUGUUUAUGCUAAGGGGUGCCCCCCCUGCAUAGUUCGAUUUAUAUUAUACAAAGUCUUGUCCAUCAUCUGGAUGCUGUUGUAAACAAUAUAAUCUUUGUCUACCAGGAAUGAGCCCAAUGCCAAUAACUUUAAAUAAACACAAGCACCAGUUUUGUAUUUACAUUGUCUGAGGCAAGCGCUGGCAGGAGUUUUUAAUGGCGCCGUCGGCCCCUCCCUGCCUAAGGUAGUGUCGGCUGUCGGGACUGACCUGAUUUGUGGAGAACUCACUCAGGGAAAGAUUUCAUACUUAGCAGAUGAGUGCUACACCCAGCCUGCAUUCUUUUGUGGGGUUUUGGCAUGUUUUAAUUCCAUCAAGUGAGCACUGCAUCUUCUUGUGCUGGAUGGAGCAGGGCGGGGGUUGAGGGAAGACCUUAGACCUGUAAAGUGCAAUCGUGCACUUGAGCAACUGAGGCCGUCAACAGCAAGGCUCUGGGUGUCAGCGGGCUCUGAGGAUUCCAUUACUAACAUGGCUCUGGCUCUGCUCUAUGGAAGACAUCGAUGCGUUGAGUUGCAUUCCAUGCAGAAAGCAAUGGAAUUUUGCAAAAGUUUGGAUGUCUGCUGCAAUUCCAAACCAAGCAAGUAGAGAAGCAUACCACUCUUCAAUAGUGAUAAAUUAUCUCUGUGGAGGAGUAGAGAAAAGCAAUUUUGCCUGCUAAUCUCCCCUACAAAGAAAGCAAGAACUACAUGGUGAGUGUGAGCCACACUCCCAGCCCUCUUUAGGGACAGACUGAACAUGUCCUUGGUGGUAGCACUAUUUGGUUAAUAUUCCAGACUUCAAAUGUAGGAUGUAAGAAAUCAGUUUCUGAGAGCUACACAGGCUACUUGUGGACUAUCAUUCUGCUGAGGGAUGAUGCUGUAGAAGGCUGGGGGAGAGAGUGGGGAUGCUCCACGUGGAAAACACGAUAGGAGAGAGAUCUCUGUGGUCCCUUGUUUGAGUUCAGGUUUGAAAUCUCUCAGGUCUGAUUGAUAAACCCUCAAAUUAAGAUGAACAAAAUCAAAGAGUCACAAAACAGCCCACUUCAUAACUGCAUACUUAUGGUGUUUGGUUUUAUUCUCUGCAAAAGAAAUGAGACAUCUGACCAACCUUUGGACUCUGCCUGGACCACAGACCCCACAGGCAGGUAGUAGAGGGUGGCGAUGGAGACUUGUGCCCUGGAGCCAGACUGCAGCCUGGCUUGGCCUCUUUCUGUCUCAGUGAUCUCAGGAAACAAAGAGGCCCUCCUAGGUGUCCCUGGACUCCUUUCUGCACCUCACCCGGUCCAGCUGGGCUCCAGAUGAGAAAUAUUAACCAACACUCCGUCUGUCUACAAUCAUCGCCAGUGACGCUUUCAUUCAAGAUAUUCCGAGAGCAUGCAAGGUCUUCUUGGUUCCCAGCAAAGCACCUGAAAUGACCUCAUUCUGGAGAUGGAUGAGCAAAGCUCUCCACACAUCCCUCUUCUACAUGAAAAACAUGCUUUGGGGAGGUCUCCUUUCCCUGGUAUUUCUCUCCUGAAGGCAGUGAUCUUUGCCUCUUUUCAGUGGCCUUUCCUGUUCCAGAUUCUGUUAUGUUCCCUAGUGAGCCAGUAAAAUUUCCCUUUUUGGAACUGUUUCAAGUUGAGGAGGGUUUUUAUAACCAUGAUACUCCUGAUGACAAAUGGAUUCGCUUCUCAGCAUCUGCUUUUGACCUCGCUUCAAACGGACGGAGGGCCAGAGAACAUUUGAGAGCUAAAGGCCCAAUUCUAAAGAAUUGAGCCCACAUCUUGUCCCUUCCAGGGAUUAUUUCCCUGCUUCUGAAAUAUCUUUUCCAUGCCUCAUUAGGCUGUUUCGUACCUUGCUUUCAACUUUGUAUUCUCAACCAGAGCUGAAAAAGUGAAGUAGAGGCAACCCCAAAGACCUGUGGGAGUCAGGGAGUGCAGAGGAGGCCUGCAUCUUCUGCAGACUGUGAGUGUGGUCACUGCCCUCCACCAGGUCCCUUCCUGCCUCAGGUCAUCACAAGCCACUGCCCGUGGUCUGGGGGGAACGUUCCUGAGUGGUGAAAUGGCCAAUGAAGAUCUCAGAAAGGCUGGGAAGGAGGAGAAACAGAGUUCAUGGACAGAGAUACAGCCAGGUCCUAGGACCUAAGGCAGCAGCACCUUUAAAAGCACCACACCUUAGGUGCAGGGGACAAGGCCUGGGGUGGGGCCUAACCUGAGUGGUUCAUUAGUUGGGGGAACGAGUUGCACUAAAGGCUCCACUCCAAGCAUCAAGACAUUGAGGUCUUAACCUAAGGAUAAACUUACAGAUCCAUGGAAUAGAACUGAGAAUCCAGAAACAAACCCGUGGGUCUAUGCUCAAUUGAUUUUGGACAAGAUGCCAAGACAACUCAAUGUAGAAAGAUUGUCUUUUUAACAAAUGGUACUGAGACAAGUGGAUAGCCACAUGCAAAUGAACCUACGCUAUAGACAAAAAUUAACUCAAAAUGGAUCAAAGACCUAAAUGUAAGAGCUAAAAUUAUAAAGCUCUUAGAAAAAAAUAUAGGAGUAAAUCUUCAUGAUCUUCGAUUUGGCAAUGGAUUCUUAAACAGGACACCAAAAGCAUAAGCAAGAAAAUUAAAAAAUACAUAAAUUGGACUUCAUCAAAAUUAAAAACUUUUGUGCUUCAAAUAGCACCAUCAAAAAAGUGAAAAGACAACCCACAGAAUGGGAGAAAAUAUUUUAAAAUCAUAUAUCUGAUAAGGGACUUGUAUCCAGAAUAUAUAAAUUAAAUAUAUAUAUUAAAUUUAUAUAUUUAAUAUAUUGAUAUAUAUAAAUGAUAUAUAUUUAUAUAUUAAAUUAUUCAUUGUAAGAAUAAUAAAAAACCAAAUAACCCAGUAAAAAAAUGAGCAAAGGAUCUGAAUAGACAUUUGUUCAAGGAAGAUACACAAAUGGCCAAUAGCGCAUGAAAAUAUACUCGACAUCAUUGGUCAUCAAGAAAAUGCAAAUCAAAACAACAAUGAGAUACCACUUCACACUCACUAGGAUGGCUAUAAUAAAAAAAGUCAGAUAAUAGCAAGUGUUGGCAAGUGGAACAAUUGCAACCCUCAUACACUGCUGGUGGGAAUGUAAAAUGCUGCAGCCACUUUGAAAACAGUCUGACAGUUCUUCAAAGGGUUAAACAUAGAGUUACCGUAUGACCCAGCAAUUCUACACUUAGGUCCAUACCUAAGAGAAGUGAAAACAAGUGUUCAAACAAAAACUUGUGCACAAAUGUUCAUAGCAGCAAAAACAGCAACCAAAAGGUGGACACAACCCACAUGUUCAUCAGGGACAAAUGGAUAAACAAAAUGUGGUCUUUCCAACACAAUAGAAUGUUAUUCAGCAAUAAAAAGGAAUUGUAGGGGUUAUGAGAGACUUGGGGGGUGAAAAGGAAAAAGAGAUGACCAUGAGAGGCAGUAACACACAGCAAGCUUUCUCAGGUGGCACUUGGACAGGGUUGCACAUGAAGGAAGUUCCUCCCAGUGUGAGACACUGCAGAGGCUAUGGAAAGCAGGCCACCGUGCUGAAGGGGAGGUGGGCAAAGGCAAUCCUGGGGGAGGGGGACCAGGAAGGGGGCGUCUGUGUCCAGAGGAUGUCGCUGAGCAGCAUGGCAGGCAGGCUUUGGGUCAGGGAGCUCUGAAGGGCAGUAGCACCUUGGAGCCUUAAAACAGCAACACCAUCUGAUCAAGGGCCAGCAGAUUCUAGGUGUAGUGUCCCAGGGUAUGCAAAGCAGGCAGACCCUAAAUGGGUAAACGUCUGCUUGUCUGAGCUAUUCUUAAAACAAUUGGUUGUAUAAAAUUUUAAUUGUGGCACCAGCAGGCUUUUGAGCGAAGGGGUCUCAGCCUGCUGUGAAGAAAUAAAUAACCUAGAAGCCAAAACACAUCUUUGGCUCAUUUAUACAAUAGGAACGAAGUACUGAGACCUGCUACAGUGUGGAGGAACCUUGACAACAUCAUGCUAGGUGAAAGAAGCCAGUCACAGCAGACCACAUAUGAUAUGAUCCCAUAUGAAAUGUAUGGAGUAGGCAAAUCUACACAGACAGAAAGUGGAUUAGUGGUUGCAGUGGGUUACAUGGGGCAUCGGGGGUCAGGGGUGAUAUACAAAAGGUAUGAGGUUUCUUUUGGGAUGAUGAAAAUGUUCCAGAAUUGACUGUGGUGAUGGUUACAUAACUCUGUGAAUAUACUAAGAGCCAUUGAAUUAUGUACUUUAAAUGCAUGAAUUAUAUGUAUGUGAAUUAUUUCUCAAUAAAGUGCUCCAAAAAGAAAAAAAUUAAAACAUAAAAAAAGUAAAAGGUCCCACCCACAGGCUGCCCUCUCUACCACCAAUGUUUUAGUGUUACAUGAGCAGACAGGCCCUUUCAUGGCAACAUGUGACCACGACUAUUAAACAGGCCCCACUGUCAGUGAAGGCUGUUAGUCGCUAAGUCUGAAUUUUCCAAUGACGUGAACAUUAGUCUCAGGUUGAUGAGCAAUAGAGCACAUGUAUUCUUUUUUAAUUCAAACUUACAGAAAACUUAGAGAAAAUUUGCAGGAAUGUAUAAAGAACUGUCAUAGAACCUUCACCAGAUUCACCAAUUGUUAGCAUUUUGCCACAUUUGCUUUCUCCAUAGUUGAUAGAUAGACAGAUAGAUAGACAGAUAGAUAGAUAGAUGAUUGAUAGAUAGAUAGAUAGAUGAUAAAUAGGUAGAUAAUCCCCAGCAUUUCUUUCAGAACUAGUGUGAGAUAUCCUUUGCCCUUGAAUGGUGCUCUGUACCCUUACAUGCUGCAGCAUGCAUUUCCUCAGAACAAGAACAUUCUCUUAUAUAUCAUAAAAUUCAGGAGACGUAGUAUUGACGUAUUACUAUUAGUUAAUAUAGCAUCAGACUUUACCAAUUGUUCUGAUAACGUCCUCUGUGGCAUCCCCGACCCCACCCCCAUCCGUGACCCAGGAUUACACAUUGCAAUUGUGAGUCAUGUCUUUCAGUCCCCUUUGAUCUCAAACUGGUCUUCACUCUUUUUUGUCUUUCAUAAUAUCAAUUUUUCUGAAGAGCACAGGCGAGUUGUUCCACAGACGCCCUCAGUUUGGGUCUGUCUGAUGUGUCCUCGUGAAAAGACUUGGCUUUGCAUUUUUAGCAGGUGUUAAAUAAUGGCCCCCAAAGACCAAAGGUCUUAAUCCCUAGAACCUGUAAGUGUCGCCUUUAAUGGAGAAAGGGUCUCUGCAGGUGUGAUGAAGUUAGGGAUCUUGAGAUGGGGAGAUCAGAUCAUCCUGGAUUAUCCAGGUGGGCCCUAAGUGCAGCCGUGUAAAUCCUUAUGAGAGAAAGUCAGAGGGAGAGUUCACACCCACAGAAGAGCAGGAGGCCACAUGACCAGAGGCGGAGAUGGAGUGAUGUGGCCACAAGCCAAGGAGUGCUGGCGGCCCCCAAAAGCUGGAAGAGGCAAGGAACAGGUCCUCCCCUAGAGCCUCUGGAAGGAGCAGGGCCCGGGCCGACCUUAAGUUUGGCUCACUGACUGAUUUCAGACCUCUGGCCUCCAGAACAUGAGAGAAUAAAUUUCUGUAGCUUUAAGCUACCCAGUUUGUCGUAACUUUUUACAGCACCUGCAAGAAACUAAUACAGCAGGAAUAGCACAGAAAUGCUGUCGUGUCCCUGCUGCAUUGAAUCAGGAGGCACUGGAUGUCACUCUGUCCCAUUUGUCAUUUUGUUAAUAUUGAUCACUUAUAGUUAAGGUGAUGUCCUCCAGGUUUCUCCACUGUAAAGCUAGUAUUUUUUCCUUUGAAAUUAAUAAAUAACUUGUGAGGAGAUACUUUGAGACUAUAUAAAUAUCCUAUUUGCCAUCAGACUUUCCCCUACUAGUUUUAGCAUCUAAUGGUGAUUCUUGCCUGAAUUAAUUGUUACUCUGAUGAUUGCAAAUGGUGAUUUUCUAAAUGGAACUAAUUAUAAAUUUAUUAGUUGGCAUUAGACUGUAAGAAAGCACAUUCCCUUCCUUCUCCAGAUUUGUUUAUUUAUCUAUUCAUUUCUAUCAAUAUGGACUCAUAGAUUACUGUUUUAUUCAAAAGGUUAUAAUCUGUCCCAAUCACUGUUUAUUCUGAUAUUCAGAUUAUCCUAGAUUUGACCAGUGGGGGCCCUUUCGAGCAGACCUCUGUGUCCUUUUUUCUUCUCUUUUUUCUUUUCUCUCUCUCUGCUCCCACCCCUACCCCUGUGGUCCUUUUGACAUGUUUCCAUCGUUACUUCCUAGCACAAAAAUCUAUUUCAGACUCAUCUCAUACUUUCCCUAACCAGUCACGGAAUCUGCCAUUUCUUCAAGGAAGGCUGGCUCCACUCAGUAGGAAAAGGUAUUUAGAAACCAAGAUCUGGGCACCAGGUGACACACAUAUUCUCGAAAGGUUUCAUUUAGCACCAGCCUUUGCUGAUGGAUAGACUCUGAGCUGAGGGAAGGGGCUAGCAAGGUUCUCCAGGCAGCACUGCAACUGUGUGAGGAGCUGUGUUUCCAGGUAUGGUCCUGGGGGACCCCAAGCGGGGGGAGGCAGAGCAGGAAAGGUUCUCUUACAGGAUGAAUUGUGUCCCCUCCAAAUUCUUGGAAGUCCUAACCCCCAGGACUUCAGAAUAUGAACUUAUUCGGAGAUAGGUCUUUACAGAGGUAUUCGAGUUAACGUGAGGUCUUAGGGUAGGCCCGCAUUGAGCAUAACUGGUAUCCUUAUAAAAAGGGGAAAUUUGGACACAGAGAUGUGUCUGGAGGAAAGACCGUGUGAAGGGAGAAGACACCAACUACAAGCCAGAGAGAGGUCGACAGAAGAGCCUUCCCUCACAGCCCUGCUGAUGCUCGAUAUAGGAUGUUCGGCCUCCGGAACUGCGAGAUGACACAUGUCUGUUUGUGGGACUUUGUCGUGGCAGCCCUAGCAGGCUUCUUGUUCCCCCCCCCGCAUCCCUCAACCAAAAUGUUUCUACUUUGCUUUAACAUUUUGUUUGAAAAACAGUAUUUGUUGGUUUAAAAUAAAAGUUUGGAAAUUCGUCGUUCUCCUCCACACCUUUCCCAUUACACAGAUAAGAAUGCUGAUGUCCAGAGAAGUCAUUCCUUUGCAGUCUCAAAGCCCUUUCCGGUGACUCACAUUUUGCUUUCUUGGAGGUUGAAGAAGAAAAUGAAGGAAGGAAAGGAGGGGGGCUGGACCAGUGUCUUGUGAGGCUGCAGUAUGGCUACUGUAGAAGGACCAUGCCUGCGUUGGCUCUGAAAACUGGCAGGCCAACAGAGGCCUGUUCUGCGGCAGCCUCAGGGAACCACUGCAGCUCUGCGUGGCCACAGCAGGGCCACCAGCGUCCCAGGUGGUAAUUCUCUUCAUCCUCUUCCCCUGCACAGCCCAGCACUGACGGCACUUCUGACGUCCAUUUUCUCCUGGGCCCCCUGCGAUGUAGGACAUGUCUACGAGGAUUGAUUGCUGGGUUCCUGGGGGAUUGUCAACCUCCAGAUGUUCUGAAGCAGCCAUCUGAAGAUGACAAAGUUCAUUGGUUUCCUUCAUCCU